GGAGGAUACAGCUCAAGAUAGAGCACAUGCUUAGCAUGCACAAGGUCUUGGGUUCAAUCCCCAGUACCUCCA
Molecule: non-coding RNA, 72 nt
Organism: Camelus ferus (Wild Bactrian camel)
Lineage: Eukaryota; Metazoa; Chordata; Mammalia; Artiodactyla; Camelidae
Source: Rfam